CUUUUUCAUGGUAUCCGAGAGGGACGAUCUAGGUCAAAUUCUGUAACAAUUUUCUACACAUACUAGUGAUUCUUCACUUCUUAUUGAUCAAAUAUAUUUUUCGACAAAUUUCUGAUCAUUAAUCAACUUGUUUGAUUUCAUAAGUUCUUCAAAAUCAUUCUGGAUCUUGAUUUCUUCAAAAUCUUGAUUUGUUGUCUUCAUCAUACUUCAAAUGUCGAAUACCAGAGGAUCAAUGAAUAAUCAAACUCAACAUAACUCAACAAUUCCUCCGCAAUCUUCAAUUCAAGAUCCACAAAUCGAACAACCGAUUUCCGCUGCUUCUGUAUCUGGCUCGGUGCCAUCCCUAACAACUGACUCAUUGUUAAACAAUACAAAAAGUGAUCUACAGCUGAGGAUGCAGGAAUGAAAUUUGUGGAUUUCAACUCUGCCUAUUUGACUUUUGUUCCUACAAAAUUUAUUGAUGAAUGAUGACAUGCUUCAGUGUUGUUUCCUAUUCAAGUGAUUGUAUCUUAACAUAACAUGGGGAGAGUCAAAUUUGGAUCCCCAGAUUAUCUACCAACUAUGCUAAUUAGUACGAACAAACUAGACUCCCUUAUACUU
Molecule: long non-coding RNA, 600 nt
Organism: Papaver somniferum (opium poppy)
Lineage: Eukaryota; Viridiplantae; Streptophyta; Magnoliopsida; Ranunculales; Papaveraceae
Exons: 2
Source: RefSeq, a predicted model, not a curated record